CUAUAAAAGGCUUCAAAAGCUUGUUUGCGCUUUUUUUUCCCCCCUCAGACACGAAAAGCAUCUGUGGAGCUCAAGUUUGAGGUGAAAGCAGGCUCAGAGUCCACCUGUGCUCGCUGAUCCAUGGAUUUCUGUGUGACCAGAUUACACCUAUGGAGCUGCAGCCCCGACUACCACCAGCUUGCUCAUCCCUCUACUCACACAGUCACCCCUCCGCUCACUCUCAUUUAUGC
Diceros bicornis minor is the source of this 230-nucleotide long non-coding RNA. RefSeq lists it as uncharacterized. Lineage: Eukaryota; Metazoa; Chordata; Mammalia; Perissodactyla; Rhinocerotidae. The record is from RefSeq and is a predicted model, not a curated record. The transcript has 3 exons.